UGUAAAAAUGAAUGUAAACCGUAGACAGUAGGUGCUUAUGCUUAAUUUCCUACCGAGGUAAGGAUAAAUAGUUUAUUUCGAUAAAUUAUAGCCUCUCUUGUCUACGGAAGAGAGGCUUUUUAUUUAAUAUU
Regulatory RNA element from Fusibacter sp. 3D3, 131 nucleotides. It matches the Rfam family "Ribosomal protein L10 leader". Rfam says of the family: This family is a putative r-protein leader autoregulatory structure found in B. subtilis and other low-GC Gram-positive bacteria. It is located in the 5' untranslated regions of mRNAs encoding ribosomal proteins L10 and L12 (rplJ-rplL). NCBI's taxonomy places the organism in Bacteria, Bacillati, Bacillota, Clostridia, Eubacteriales, Fusibacteraceae. The record is from Rfam.